This is a non-coding RNA of Xyrichtys novacula (pearly razorfish), 24377 nucleotides long. NCBI's taxonomy places the organism in Eukaryota, Metazoa, Chordata, Actinopteri, Labriformes, Labridae. The record is from the annotation of a GenBank genome assembly.
AGUUGCUUUUAUGCUAGGUGGGAGGCUCCGGUUUUAACACACCUUUGCUCUUUUAUCAGGGAGAUGUUCGCUGCAGACGACAAACACACCGAGCUCAUGGAUUCUUGUAUUUUUUGUCUAUAAAUACAGGUAUACAGACAUUUUUCUGUGUUUUAAUAAUUAUAUUUUGUUAAAAUUUGACAUCUGGUGUUGAGGGGGCUCUACUUUUAUAUCGGUUGUGUUCAGAGCUGUUAAAAUAGGCUUAAAUGCAAAAAAAAGUGUACUUGCUAUUUAAGUGUGCAUUUCAUUGUUAAAUAGCUACAAAAGAUACUGUGUUUUUGGCUUCAAAUCGUUAAGAAUAUGGUGUCAUAAUUGUUUAUUUCAUCGGCAUUUCAUGGUUACAAUUUAUUUACUUCUUUUACUGUUGUAUAUUUAUGUCAUGUAACAAAUAGGGGAGAGUGGGGUAAGUUGAGCCACCCCCCUGUUGCUUGUAAAUGGUAAAAGAAAUUGAUCCUGUGACCAAAUAUCUAGGAGAUGGGCAUCAAUUCAUUGAGUCUGUGAAAGGUUAGAAGCACAUGGGUGACAUUUAUUUCCAAAAAAACAUAUUUCACCCUUGAAAGCGAAUUUAGUCUGUCAUAAGUUUUAUUAGAAUUGUGUUCAGAUCAAAAAGAUCAUUUUAAAUUUGUUUUAUACAUCAAUUGUGGUAUCAAUGAGCUACAACAUGGUCAACUUACCCUAUAGACGGGGUUAGUUGACCAAAGGAGGACACUUUGUUCUGGCAUGCUACAUUAUCAAGACAGUUCUCUUUACACUCACUCUGUUGGUUUGUAGGGAUGAACAACAUCUUGAAAUAUAUGCAGAUACACUAGUUAGAGACAAAACUAGGAUUGACUUGAUGUAGUGAUCCGAUAUAUGCAAAGUGGCUCAUCUUACCCUACUGUCCCCUACUUAAAAAAAAAGCUGCUGCAGACUGAGCUCAUGGAUUCUUGUAUUUUUUGUCUAUGAACACAGAACGGCCAAAUUGAAGAACCAGAAGCUACGUAAUGUUUUCCUGACUGGUCAGUAUAACCCAGAACACAACACACACACGGUUUACAUAAGCAUGUUCUUUUAGUUUUCUCCCUUCCAUCUUUAAAACUGCAAAACCUUAUUCGACAACAGAGGGAACAUCACUUUGUCAUACCUCAUAAAGCCUUGUCAUUAUUUCUCCAUUAAUUCUCUAAAAGGGAUAAAAUAAAAAUAGCACCUUGUGGGCAGAAGUUACAAGCCCUGCAGCCUUUCCUUUCUGCAGUUCAGGCACUAAACGAACUAGUCAGUGAUUGUAAGUCACCCCGGAUAAGACUUGUAAAUCUCUAUCUGUUCCUGUGAAUGACAGCACUACAAUACGUGAAAGCAAGUCUUUAAAUAAGACCAAUGCAAAAUAGUGUUUUAUAUCCUAAGCUCUGGCAUUAAACCCUCUACCUGAGAGUGUAUUAUAGCUGACCCUGACGCUCCAUCGUAUCUCUUUGAAGCCAUCACAGCUCAGCAUGGUUCAGAAAUAUUACCAUAUCUAUAAAGCAAAGGGAUCCAGUAAUGACUACAAAAAGAAAUACCUUCACCUCUUUCUGCUGAGUUCAAACACAGUAGCAUGGUAACGGCUUAAAGCUACCCCUCUAAAGCACUAAUGUGUUCAAAUACCCACGGGCCCCUCAUUGCAGCAAGAUUGAAAAUACCAGCAGUGACUGCUAGCCAGGCACUUAAACAGAAAAAAGGCCCAUGGUCACCCUCUGUGACAUGUAGCAUCUUAAUGGUGCUGUUAUGAUGAGGGCUACGGGAGGAGCAUAUAUCAUUUGAGCCCCUUUUGCUCGACUCAUCAUUGCAUGAUAGAUCACCUGCAGCCCAGAGCACUGCAGUAAAGUAUGUGGUAAGAAUUGCCUACAAAAACCAGAGCUCAGGACAUUCUGCUGCUUCAUUGCUGUUUCAUGGCAUAUCACCACCCAGCAUGCACGCACAGAAGAAGACACUGACACAUCAUGCAGCAGAGAGACAUUAUAUAUUUACAUUACUGCUGACUUCAAAUGACACGACUGUGCAUCACAUCUCUCUCUCUCUCUCUCUCUCUCUCACACACACACUCCUGCAUGCCCAAGUGUGUCUGCCUACCUGGUGCAGCAUUAAAUAGAAACAAAGUGCUGACUGACCUAUUAAAAUAUUGCUUAAUGGCAUCAUUAGCAGUACAAAAAAAAAAGAAAAGAAAAUCCCACAGGGGGCUUUUUAAGGCCUUGGCUGAAACUUUCAGAUCAUUUCUUUGAUGGCUUCAGUGAAUAAUGAACUUAGAGUCAACUUUGUCUUUCAGAAUUAUAACUAGUAGGAAAAAAAAAGACCAAGUUAAGUUCCAAGUACUCUGAAUAGAAAGACAAAUAUUUUUCUGUGUGAUGUCGAGGUUUCAACAGAAGUACCUUAGAGGCUGCCAUUCAGUGUGAUUAUAUAAAUGUCAGAUCAGACUGCAUAACGACCAAAAUAUAACCAAAACUGACUCAAGUAUGAUCCAAACAGGUUGCUCAAGAUGCUCCCUUGAUCAUCCCUACUGUUGGUGAAUCGGCGGUGGCCUUUGAGGACAAGACGCUCCUGCGACACUAGGUAAGAGUGAACCUUUAUUACAAAAACUCAUCGGCUCUGUGCCUCCGUUAAAACAUAAUGAAGCAAAAUGCCAGCCGCCAGGUUCCAUGUCUGUCCAUUUAUUGUGGUGUUUUUUAAGAGGGUAUACACUUUUUCUCCAGCUGGCUUGCAUGGAAACAGUUUCUCUUUGCAGAAAGCGAUUGCUUCUGUUUCUUUCUCUUCUUCUUGUCGUCUUCUGAAAUUGUUGAAUUCAUCUCAACUUAUGAAGCCGAACUGAUCUUAAAUUAUAUUUACACAGCAUUAACUCCGCUUCCUUUUCACAUUUACUGUCGUAUCAAACUCAAACUCUUCUUUUGGUCCUCUGGUGAGUGUCCUUAUUGAGCCCUUUCUUUGUAAAGUAUGCCCAGGAUCAUGUACUGACAGCACAGGCUCAUAAAGUCAUAUGUAAUGUUGCUUUGCUAAUGGCAACACCGGGGAAUAAGAAGCCCUGAUGUUGGGAAACCGGUUUGUGCCUCUGCUUUUACUCUUGCAAGUGUGUCAGUCACGACUCAAAAACUGAGGCAGAUUCAGCUUCACUUCUCAGUUGUUUUCUGGCGUUUGACGCAUUCACUGACAUGCACUUUUGUUUUAAUGCAGUUUUUUGAUAUUUGAAUGAUACUUCCCUCUGUUAUAUUUCAAUCCUUCUGUGUAUCUUCAAUUUCUAUAAUCCAAAUGUAGUUGUAGUCUUUUAAACUCUGAACCUUUGUGUUCAGCAGUGUGCAGUUUCCAUGCGGAUGUGUAGCUCUCCUUGAUACCACCUGUUUUUGCCACCUUUGCAGUGACCCACAUGGUAGUUUAGCCCAGCUUUGGGUGGUGAUUUUUUUUUUAGAUUAAAAAUGCAAUUCCGGAAACCAAUCAACGAAGACUUUCUCUGUCUCCCCCAGCAACUACUGUGUCAGCCAACCCUGCAGAAGCAAAACAAUGCAGCGAAAAACACAGACAGCCAAGGAAGUAGUAGUUACAUCUGUCUGUGUUUUUAGAUUAUUUCCACACUAUCGUUAUUUAUAUCCCGGGCCAGAGGUUCUCACACUCCAUUAUUUCCGACAGGCUGUUCAAUUUCUGCCGGACGAGCGGCAGCAGCGAUCAGGUGGCCACAUUGUAUUGUAUUUAUGUGUGAUUGUAGGAACACGAUGCCUCAUUAGACCUUUAGUGCCCUGGCUCGCCGCGGCCCCAUCCACACACAAUAGCCCAUCUUAUUAUAUCUAUCUCUCGCCCACCUGACCACUCCACAGAGAGCUCUGGCAGCCGCAGUCAAGCUGUUGGAGAUCAUGGGCAACUGGGACCUUUUGUACAUUGUAACAUCUGCACACUGGCUGCCUGUGACAAGGUCUGGCGCUGUGAUCUCCCCCAAAACACCUAUUUUUUUUUUUUUCUGUCUCAGCUGCCUCCCUGAACUCUCUCGCUCUGCUCUUGUUUUUUUCUCCUCUCAUGUCUCCUCCUUUUUUGUCAUCUCCUUUUUUCUCUCACCACCAAAAGACUGGCUAUAUAUAACCACUGCUUCACUGACCUCCCUUGAAAUUACACAACAUUUUUCCCCAUUAUUAUUUCCCCCCCUUUCCUGACCACCUCUUAUAUAUUCCCCGCGGCUUUGCAGGCUCUUAUUUUUUUUGUCCCUUUCCUUUUCCAUCACGAUCCAUUCUCGGUCUUACCUGUCUGUUCUACCUCCUCUCAUGUCAGCUUGUCUCUCAUGUUCUCUUAAGUACUCCCUCCAUCUCUCUCACAUACACACACACACAUAUAUAAACCCCCCCCACCCCCUCGUCUGUCUCCUCUAUCACCCCACCUCCAAAGCUAAAGCUGUCUGACUUCCUACCUGCACAGUCCUUUGAGAACACAGACGUACAGUACAGUAUACCCUGCUAUGCAGUACAGAAUGGAGGAGACUGCUGUGCAAGAGCAGGAAAGGGCAAACACUGCUGCACCUAACAUUUCCAGAUAUAUUUGUAUACUGUGCAAAAUAUAGAGAAGAAAACUUGGCUGCAUUGACUGUAAAACAGUGUAAAGACAACAGAUCCAGGUCAUUUAAAGGGAUGUUUCAGAAUAGCUGAGUCAGGGGCAUGUUUGCUGUCAUGUUGCAUCACUUUUUCUUUUUUUAACAGCGCUCUGUAAACACUUUAAAACCCAGGAGACCAGUACCUGGAGUUUUGAAAGGGAUGUUUUUCUUCCACCCACUCCUAAAACAAGUGUAGGGUUUCAACAAUUCAGGGUUUUGUUGGGACAGCAGGCAAAUUAAGCACCAGGACUCUUCUACUGCAGAGCUGAAUGUGCAGAAUGUGGUUUAGCAUAACAUCUUUUAGAAAUAUGAAAACGUUGUCUGGAUGGCGUUGUCGUGUUUCGCUCCAAAACCUGCAUAUAUUGUCCAGUUCCAGUUUCCUGACUGUUGAGUGGUGACCUUGAUUGGCUGUUUUUCUUUUUUUUAGCCUUUAGAUUGAGUGUGGGCGUUUGAAGCUCUGUCACAGCCAGCAGGUUUUAAGUGUGUCUGCGGGUAACUUUAGCAGUUUAAUUUUAUAGCUCUGUCUGUUGCUAUGGAGACGUCAUUUAACGUGACAUCCGCGGCUGCUAACUAAUUUCAGCAUCUCGGCGAACGUUGUGUACGUGUGCAAACCGCUCACUGUGACAUAAAGAGAAAAGAUGAAAGUAGGUAAGGUUAACGCUGUAGGAGAAAUAUAGACAAGUGUGAUCACAGAAAUUGGCAAAAAAAAAUUACAACAAAUAAAUAAAAUGCAUGGAGGCAUUCUUAUGGGGAAGAACCUUUAUUUUUUUUGUAAAACUGAGUUUUUUUCACCCCAAAAAAUCAGAUUAGCAGACUUAGAUUUGGUUUUAUAAUAUGGGUCCAAGAGACUUGUCCUCAGGUCCAGAUAAGAUUCUCUGAAUUUCAAGCUCGUUUUGCUCAUUCACUUCAGUCUUGUCCAUUACAUAUCGAUAAAUAAUCUAAUUCUUUACCUCAGAGGAGACUUCAGACUCAGCUGUUUGGACGUGUUUCAAAUACAUCAUUCAGGUUCAACAUAAAUGGUCACACCAUUACCUCAAAGCGAGCGUCAGUCCUCUCUGCCAAGUUUAAAUACAGUUUUGCCAUUACAGGAUUAAUGUAACCAUGUCGUACCGAACACCUGCUCACACCUGCCGGGAGGAUGACAUUGACUACAUCAACCAAGGUCAAACUCAACUGUGAUUAAUGUCUGUUAAUUGGUACGAACAUCAGAGAAAGUAAAUUACAGCAAAGAGAGCAAACGCUCCAUCAUGUUUAACUGCAGUUACAGAGGCGGCAGUCACAUUUGUUAUGGCACACCUAAAACCUGCAACAUGGCAGCAUGACGGAUUAUGGAGACCCGGGGCGACAAACAAUAUGGGACUUGUGAAACCUGAUAUGUUUGUUUUGUUUGUUUUUCAUGGGGUAACAUCAAAACCCGAAUAAAGUUUAUAAUCUAUCAACAAAAACACACACAAAAAACCACAAGUGUAUAUUUUAGCAUGGAAAUGUCUCCAUAAACAUGCUUCAGAUCCAACUUUAUAAAUCAUUUAAUUCAGUUUCAACCAAUGAUGUGGUUGAAACUGAAAGAAACCAUGAUUCUAAUUACCUUUUAACAAAGUUUCCAAACUUUUUUCUUGAAUUUGGGUUGAAAUCAGUCGUAUUACUUUUAAAUUUAUGCGAGAUAUGACUGUGUAUUCCCAGUGGAGCCUCUGCUUUUGUGCCACAAGUUCAGCGGUUUAAUUAAAAGGAAUAUAGUGGGUGGGUUUGUUUGUGUGUGGUGGCGAGCCUUCCUCCUUCUUUUUAGAGGUAAUCUGGAUAAAAAUCCACAACUGAAUUAAAUUUAAGGAGCUACUCACGAUCCUGAAGUGGAAACACAUAAGGAGCUGUCAUGGUUGUGUUUGCGGCGCUGUCCAAGGUGCUGAUCCUGUCAGUACAGCUGGUGUGGCCUAAAACGGUCCUUUUUAACACUUCAGCCCAUUCAUAUCUUCAUUUAAGUGUAUAACUGACUGCUAUAGUGUUCUUGUAACCAGGAACGACCAUAUUUGGUCAACAAUGUGAAAGCAUCGUGUUGCGUGUCUAUUUUGUUUGUAGGUGUCCUCCGAUGACGCCCAUGAUGCUAAAUUUGUUUUCUACUUUUUGCUGAUGGGCUUCACUGUCUCCGCCAAAAACCUCAAACAUGGACGUCCCCAGUCAUGGACGCCAUGACUCAGGACCAUGUGUCACCUCGUUUAGAUUCAGGCUAUAAGAUGGUAAUCAUACAGUCACAUAGGUAGUGACACCGAUGUCAACAUGAGGUUGACACUGAUAUCAUUAAGUCGAUGUAAGCGUGCGAGGACAUCCUUUCCUACAUUAUCAACCAGAGCACACAGGGACAAUCCACGUCAUUAUGCUGUUGAUUCUGCGUGCACACACUCUGAGUUGCCUGUCAAGCUUCUUUCAGCACCCACCAUGAUUAAUGAGUCAUUGAGUCUUGGGGAGAGGGGGCGGGGGGACAACUCAGCUCAUGUCAACAACGCUGACUGUGUGUGCUCGCAUCACGUGCUGCUCACUAGUCGCUGCUCCUUUCUGCCUGCUCACUUCAGACGCCACAGUCCAGGAGAAAUAAAACUCUCCUGCAGUGGAUGUCCUCGCCAAUUACCAACUUGGAGGGGGUUGUUAGAAAAACACACACCACUCCCCCAGGCGAGCACCCGAAUUAAUACAAUCAAGCACAGAUAGUGUGGAGAGAAAAGUCUAUCCAUCUCACUUUCUUGUGUCUGGUAAUGGUACCCAGUGUCUUCUGGUAAUGGCCUCUCUGCCACGCAGAGAGCAGCCACAUAUUAAUGAAUGUUGCCAUUUGCAUGCGCAAGUAGCUUCUGAGGGUCUAUCAAAGCAAAUUGCUUUAUCUGGAAGGAACGUGACCCUGCCAAUGACUGGGUUUUGUAAAUAAGCCAUUAUCCAUCUAAAGCAUAAUUACGUUGUAAAUGUCAGCGGGUUGCGGGGCCUCGAUGACCCCGGUCUGGAAUUUUACAGGAGUCUAGUUCAGAAACGGAGCACAUAUUAAAUGUACACAAGCUGUAAGGAUAGAGGGGCUGCAGAGCUGCUAAAUAUGUAUGCACGGCUUCAUGUUCACGAGCAGGUGCUGCUGUGAUCAAUGCGGUUAUUAAAUCGAGAUUGGAAGGUAUAGAAAUGUGUGAGUAUCUCUGCCUUGACAGGUCUUUAUAGAAAUAUUCAUCUCAGUUAUAAAGAAGUGCGAGCUAACACGCAGCCUGAGAUCGCUCCUGCAAACAUUUUGUUCCUCUGUUAUUCUGCUGAACGUCACGAGAUGAGUCAUAAUCCUGACACACAAAGCCUGCAACUCUAACGCUAUAAAAUUACAGCUUUAAUCCUGAAAAUUUAAGACAUUUCUUUUAUAAUAAGCUUCAUUUUAUCAUUUUUUUUAUUCUUAUUUAUUCUGUUUCCAGCAGCUAACAUGCUCAUUCACCUGCAUGCACAUUUGUCAGUUCAGUUACAGCUGUAAGGAUGCCUGAAGAGCCCAAAAAUCAUGAGUUUGACUUUUUCAUUGUGGGAGCCGAACACUUGACUCGGGUAAUGUGGACCUGACUUGGACUCUCUUCCCUCUGCUCAGACUUUGAGGACUUGAGACUCAGUCCUGGGUUUAUAGUUUGGUGACGUGUCUGUUUGCACAUCGCUGCGGGGCUACAAAAACAUACUGUAGAUACUAAAUGUUGUUCUCCUGCUUUAAAUGACAUAAAACUACAUAAACUGUUGGGUUUUAUCACUCUUGCAGUUAAUUUCUAGUCUUUUGGAAACUUCCUACUUUUGCAACUUAAGCUACUUGUGCAAUCUUUAUUUUAUGACCAAAGCUCAAUAUACUUUUCUUUUAGCACCUUUGCAUCCCAGAUCUGUUAGACAUCAGGUCCAUCUGCUGAGAAGGCACGAGUUUAAUGUAUUUACCAGUAUAAUCAAAUAUUUCACACAAACCGUGUUACAGCUGACGUAAAAGUUACAGCUGCAGCUGUAUUUUUCAUGCCUUGUAAACCUUGAAGGUUGUUUCCAUCAAUCAAAGCAGGUACAACACACCUCCAGUUUUAACUUUUAGCCUUUAGGCAGAGCUUCUUUUUAACAUUUGGCUUCCCUGUGUGUGUGUGUGUGUGUCUGUGUGUGUUUGCUGUCAAUGUUGUUAGCCUGUGUGCAUGCAUAGGUCCUCUUUAAGUGUGUCUUAUGCAUGCAGGUCUUCACUCCUCACUUUGCAGGAAUCCAUAGCAACACAGCCGCCUAAACACACACAGAGGAUGGGAUCAAAUGCAUGCUGUGAAAAGCUGGAGGUGUGAGAAGGAACCUGAACUACAGAUUUUCUGUUUUUGUUUAACAAGAGAAGAAACGUCUGUGUGUGCGUUCAGACGCUCCGAGGAUUAAACAUCAUUUUUGAACAAUUCACUUUCUUCUGUUUUUGUACACCGACACAUUUUUGCAGAAAAGUCAGGAAUAACUUUGACUAAAUCACUCUGAGAUGAAAAAGCUUUGCGUUCAGUUUAAAUCAUCUCUCUGUCUUUGUUUUGUAUCCUGCCGAGGAAGGAGGAGUAGGAGGAUUGGAGGAGGAGACAAAAGCCAGGAAAGUCCAGAAUGCAACGCAAAGCCUGCUUGAAGUAGGAAGGGAAGAAAGUAACAUUAGUUUAGAUUUUGGCACUUAAAGGACAGCUCUGAACACCUCUGCACAUUUUCUCUAUAUCAGAAAUUGCAGAUCCUUGUAGAAGACUUAGCAUCACUGAGUCUGUAGCUGCAGAGAGAAUUAAGUAGAAGUAGGGCUGGGUGAUAUGGGAAAAAGUUUAUCACGAUAUAUUUUUUCAUAUCAGUUGAUAUCGAUAGAUAUCACAAUAUAAAAAAAUCACUGAUCAAUCUUAAAUGUUCCUUGUUACUCUAACUGACUUUGUGAGAACAUGUACUCGACAUAACUUGCACAUUACUCUGCUUCAUGUCCGACCUAAAAAAAAAAGCAAAAUACCUCCACCCCUCAAAAUUCUCAAGCCAGUCUUGUCGACGAUGUGGUCAUCUGUUAAGCCUUCAUUUGUAUUUCUGCGGGGGGGUAGCACUCAUUUUCUUGCUGUCGGCUUCACUUGUUAAAGUGCUAUGGUUGCAUGUAGCUGCAGCCUACUAUGAUGCAGUUGUUUGCUACUUGGUUCUAAUUUAGCAGAUGAUUGGUUCAGUGUGGACCCGGAGCAACUCCCCUUUUCAUUGGCUAUUCGUACAGUCUACCAAAACAUGGCAGAAUGACAACUAUUGAAAAGCAUUCUGCCAUGUUUCAUAUCGAUAGCAAGGGAAAUUAAUUUUUGAUAUAUCUCAUUAUCGUUUUAUCGCCCAGCCCAACGUAGAUGAUGAGUCUGUAAGCAAUGCUUAACCAGCAGAGACAUCUGAUCGUUAAGCUGCAGUGAGGACCAAAGGCUUGUGGUGCGAGCUCUGCUCUGGUUAACUGCUUUGGACAAAUACUUUGACUUUUUUUUCAACUGAUUUCUUAAGGAGCCAAUUAAUUGAAAUUGCAGUAUAGCCACAUGAUUGACAAUAUAUAUGAUAAUUUUAAUGCUGAAAAGUAGAAGAUGGGGGUGAGUGAUUUUGAAGCACAGGGACUCUGAUCAAGCUCAUAUUCGCUGAUUCUGCUCUGAAAAGGAGCUGACAGUGUACACUUUGUUCUCUGUAUCCCAAAACACAGUAAGCACUGGAUUUCAUUUAACACCACAGAGUGAUGUAAAAGACUUAAAGAAAUAUCAAAGGCUGGGAUUUCCUUUCUGAAUGUCAUAUCAAAUACUGCAAUUUAAUUUCACUUUCAAGUCGUGCAUUAAGAGCGAAUGUUAUCCCCUUCUUUAUCCAGCUUUAUCCAUUAAGACGAUUUGCAGACGUUCGCCGUGUUUCAUACAAGUUAACAGCUCAGACUGUUGCUGCACAUCCAGAUGCUCUCACAGAUCCUAUUACAAGCCUGUAGCUCCUCCACAACAAAGAAACCCUGCGUGGAUUAACCUGAGAGAAACCUGACGAAGUGCGGAGGAAGCUGCAAGCCGCAGUGUCCUCAUGUUUACAUGUGUUAGCAGGCGCGGUGGAUGAAUGAAUGAGUGAAUGAAUGAAUGACUCAUCGCAUUAUCAGGUUAGUGUCAAAGCGAGGUAGCACAGCGGGAGGAGAAGAGCCCGUCUGCAGCCAUGUCGACGGUGUGCUAAUCAGCAUGCUAUCACACAACCUGAGUGUUUAGAGGUGUCACCGCUAAUUAGAUGCUCCAAGCUUUCAGUCGUUGGUCUGUUCUGACUGCUGCCGCCGCUGCUGCUGUUGUGAUUUGUAAAUACACUUAUCGCUCGGCUAACAUUGUGAAUGUCUGUUGGUUUUGAGGUUGCAGAAAAAGGAUGUUUCUCUUUAUAUAUUGGCACUAACCCGCAUUAGUUUGUGUUUAAACAAGCGAGCAGGAACCGGAGCCUAUUUCUUCCCUCGGAUGUUGCCCUGAAUUAAAAACCGUCUCAGGAUGAGUGCCGCUCUUCACUCUGUUGGCUCUGUGAUUGGGUUGUUUUAUGGUUUAGUUGCUGGAGUCUUAAUGCGUAGAAAGAAAACGGAUCAAACAACCCUCUUUUGGGGCCGAUCUAAAAUGUUUUUUACCUGGUUUUAAAUCUCAGGAGGAGCUCAGCCUAGCUCUUCAUUUGUGUUCAUUAGGCCUGUCACGAUAACAAAUUUUGCUGGACGAUAAUUGUGCUACAAAUUAUCGCCGAUAAACGAUAUUAUUGACACCAUUUUUUAAAUUAUAGAUAAUGAUAUUAUAUGGCAUAAUAAUGCGAGUACACCAUGUCAAAAGUGAUAAACUUUAAUUUCCACACGAGAACAACACUGGUUGUUUUCGUUGACUAAAAUAUUUCCCUUUUCUCCCACGACGAAGACGUAACGUUGACGAGCUAAACAUAAGUCGGAGAUGACUAAAAUGUGACGAGACGAAAGUGCGUUUACGUUGAUGGGACGAGAUGAAAAUGACGAACAGAGUUGCAAAACUCAGUCAGUUAAACGCUAAACAUAUAGAAGCAGCUUCAGUCCGCUCUGACAGCUCUCAUCAGCCUGCUGUGCUCCUCUAACACACAGACACACACGCACGCGCGCGCGCACACACACACACACGUGGAGUUUUGUGCUUGACGAAAACAAAACUGGUUUAAAGCCGAAAUAUUCCCACACUUGGGCUGUUGCGUUCGGUUUAGACACCAAAGCUGUCGUGUUCACUCUGUUUGCUUGCUUUUCACUCACGACGCUCACUUGCAGCACUGUAUCCAAAAAGUCUGUGUCUGUGUGCCUGUGCGCGCGCCAGCCCCCUCGUGACAAAGACACUGAAUGACUGACAGGAGGGUUCACUAACUCCGUUCAUUCCGCUAUAGAACCAACGCCCCCAGGUGCCGAGAACAAUGCGCAGAGUGAGACCUCUUCUCUCAUCCAGCGUGUUUGGUAGCGAGAGAGGAGGAAAACAAACGCACGUCAAUUAUCGAGGCUGGCAAAGUUAUCGACCUCGUUUUUAUUUAUCGAGCGAUAAGGCGAUUUAUUGAUUAUCGCGACAGGCCUAGUGUUCAUUCAAAUGGUCUCACACAGACAUUUGUCGUUUAUUGUUUUUAGCUCAUCUUUUGAUUUGAUCCGACAUUUCUUAUUGCUUUUAAGUAUUUUAUUAUCACCUGCAUUAUUUCAGUCUUUUAUUAGUUACCUUUUCUGUCUUUUUUAUGUAUUUAUUAUUUUCUAUUUAUAUAUGAAGCACAAAUAAUGCACCACUUCCCCUUCUUUACACUUCAAGUUUGUUUUUCAAACUUUUAUUUUGCAGUUUUUAGAGAUGAAAUGAGCUUCCUGUGCAUUUUCACAUCUGGUUAAUUUGUUGGUGAUGUGAUUUAAAGCAUCAAUGAUUAAUUGAAGAGAUGAACAGAUGAAGCCAAAUGCAGAUUAUAUUGCAAAAUAAUUUCUUGCAAAGUGGGGAACGUAACCUCCGUCGCCAAAAACAUCAGCACUUUGCUACAUAAUAAGUUAAAAAGCAGGACUUUUGACCGUCUUUGACUAAAAACAACUCCAUUUACUCUGAAGUAGCAGAGGUCAGCACAAACUGACUUUAGGGCAAGUCCUGUGAGCUUAAAACCACAAUCCAGUGUUGAAGUCGGUGUCAAAAUGAGCAGGAUAAAAGCUAUUUAACUAAUCAAGUGACACAUAAUGACACUGUGAGGUGUUCAAGGUCGAGACGGUGAAACGAGAAGCGGCCCGCAUCCCUACUCGUUAAGCCAAAUUGGGUUUCUGUUCGCUUUUAAAUUUCCCAUCUUUGUCCCUUUUCAUGUUAACUAUCACAGCCUUGCACUGUCAUGCACAUGGUUCUCCACAGAGGUAUAUUUACCAGGACACCCUGCUGUUUUGGAAUAAUGCUGUAAUUAUUGGUGUUUUGUGCUCCCUAAUGAAAGGCUGUUAGAUAUAGUCUUUAACAAGACCACACAACAGCAUCGGGACCAUUCAUCACUCAUUCGGUUUCAUUGACUCGCCGUUGAAAUUAGCAUGAUACUCCGGCUCGUAAACAUCUGUGUUCAUUGUGCGGGCACUGCUCCGAAAACACUUUGACUAGCAAGAGCAAAACAGCACAUCUAUAUACAAGACCACAAAAGGAAAAAUGGCUUACAAGCAGGUGAGAACAGAGAUUAUGGGUCACAAUCGAGGAUCCUAGCAGGCAAUUAAAAGCAGGAGUAUUCAAAGCAUGUCUCCUGAUGUUGUCUGCGGGAAAUGAAAUGUGGGGAAGAGCAUGCACACAGUGGCUUUUGUGUUAUAAACAAAGUGAUAAUACCCUGGAUGUGCUUCACCUGCAUUUAAUGUCUGUGCAGGCAGCCAGAUAUGCUAAUGUGACACGUAUGUGAGGAGUGUGAACAAUUGCUCAACCAAGCCCUGCUCCCUUGGGGAGAGCGUGCUGCUGAGUGGUGUUCGACUUCCUGUUUUUUUUUUUUUUUUCCUGGAAACAGUUCUGCAGCCGGGGCGCAGCGAGCAUUCUGGAGUGGUGGGUAAUUAAAUGCAAAAACGGGAUUAGCGGAGUGCACUCUGUUCCCUGUUUCCAUGUGAUUCCGACAACAAGAUAGGGGCCCGCUAAAGCCAGGGAUAAAGAGAACCUCUGAGGAGCAAUGCAGCAUAGAUUACAUAAGAUUAGGGUGCACACAAUUUUGCAAAAACUCAUCGCCCACUUCUUCUUAUUUGAUUGAUUCUUCAAGCUUUUUGCGACUGUAUCUUGCAAAUGGUAUUGAUUGAGCAAAUUCAACAGCGGUCGGAGAGUUUUGUGCUUAUGCUGCACUCUCACAGCUGAUUUCCCCUUUUGUUUUUGUUCUUUUUCUCUCACACUCAGCCUCAAAUAACCUUCCGGUUCUGCAGACGAGGACGAGAGUUAUUUUAAAUUAGCAUGAAAUUCCUUUAUUACUAAAACCUACGUCUGUUAGCACUUCAAAGACAAAGGAGGGCGUUUGAGUUCCAGAGGAAGCGUGUAGUAGAUGUGGCCGAUAAAAGCUUCGUCUUCGGCUUUUUUCAAGAAGGUUAUCAACUCAAAUGAGGUAGCCUCGAACUUCUUUUCUUGAUUAGAUCUGAAUGUAAUUGACACAGUUUCAGAUUGUGGAGCUCUAAUCUUUUUAAUGUAGGAAUAAAGCGUGAUGGGUUUAGCAAGUAUACUACAAAAUAAAGAGGUAAAAUUCAGCCUCACUGCAGAUGGAGAAUUUAGAUUCAAGUGCAUCAGGAGGGUUUUUUAAACAGCACACAUGUUGAUUAUAACUAUACACUGUCAAAGCUGGUUCCGGGUGCCAGGGCUACAGACCUUUCUCCUUAACUCAUAUCAUCUGUGGUGUUCCCCAAGGAUCAAUUUUGGGCCCACUUUUAUUUUCUAUUCUUGUGCUCCUGCUUGGUAACAACAUUCAUCCUACAGGGCUCGACAGUGCGACCGUUUCACUUGCAUUUGAGACUAAAAAUAGAUGUGUGUUAUUUAUAUUAUAAUAUUAUAUAUUUUUCAUGUAAAUCCUGCGGUGAAGUUAGUUUUAGGUUGGAUAUUUGACAGACAUUCACUGCAGAUGUACCGGUGUCUUCUCACCUUCCAUAACUAGGAAUAGCAAGAGCAGCACGCCUUAAUCGCUGUUAACAUUGGGUGUUGAAUAAGGGACCAUCAAUAUAUUACUGGUUGAUGUUCUCAGAAAAGGCUGUUUUCCUUCAAUAGCUUCCACGUCAUGUGACCAAUUUACCUAAAAUUGAUUUAAAAUAAUAGUACUAAGGUCGGACAAUGAGACACACUUCUUUAUUUCCCUAAUUUGUCCUCUAAAAAUUUCUGUGUUAAAUUUUGAACAUUUUCUUCAAUAGCUUCCAAUUCAUGUAAUCAAAAGUCCUAAAAUUGAUUUCAAAUAAUAGUACUUAUGUCGACCAAUAAGACAUACAUUAUUUGAUCAAUUUUCAUUGUACCACUAAAGUUCUUUGUGUGCUCCUUACUUUUUCAACUUCGGAGCACAUGUGCUCCUUAUGAAGAAAGUUAGUGUCAAGCCCCGUCCGAACAAUUCAACCUUUAUUCGCUAUGCUAAAUACCUGUUUCUGAGACCUGGUGAUCAAAGAUGUCUCUGGCUGUACACAGGAAAAAAUAGUGAUUAAGCACUGAUGGUUAGUCUCAAGUCCAAUAUUUCUGUUGUUUUGGUCCCCUGAUUUCUAAUUCAGAGCCGAGCACCCAGUCUGGCAGAAAAUGUCCAAGCUCGCCUGCAGAUGCAAUGAUAUGAAAAGAGCUCUCGCUGGCUUCAUCCAUAGGCGAAAAGCACACCGUCUCCUGCAGGCCUUUUUCACAAAGCUGAAGGUUGAUGACUGAUAUUUGACCUUCGAGGUGAAAAAGGAGCCGGUACAAGAGAUUAAUGGCUCUGAAAGGUGGAUUUCCUCCUUUCAGUCGUGUGAAGUAUUGUGCGGGCACUGGGGUUUGAAGUCAUCAAAGCAUAUAAUCAGUAGUCAAAAUCCACGCUGGCUGUAAUAGCCUUUGCCUGCUGGUUGAUUGAAUUUGAAUGUACCAUAAUGACUGCGUUAGGGAAGCCUUUUACAGUGUCUAAUCACCUCAGAUAAUUGAGACUGGAGUCAUUUAAUGUACAGAGAGAUAGUUUCCCCCAUUGCCUCUGAGAUGUUAGACAGAAGACUUCCUAAAAAGUGAGAAGAACUACUCCACCUGUGGCUGUUUACACUGCAAAACUGGUGUUCCUCACCUCCUCUUUUGGCCCUUUUUUCAUCCUUUCCUGCCGUUUGCGAAGAUUAUCGUUGUUAAAGCACAUGUACUGUACACAUGUAUGCCAAAGAAGAGCUUCAAAGGUAUAUCAAAGGAUAGUGACUUUCAUACUGUAAUUUCCAUGUGGUAUUUAAAAUGUGCAUUCACUCCUGCUUAUCAUCCAGCAGCAGGUAUCUUCAUGUUUCAUGUCGUGAUGGCUGAGUGUAUUCGAGAGCGUGUCUGCAUCAAAGAGACAAAGAGUUCUCUCUUCUAUAUAACGUGAGCCCGCCUGCCUGCAUCUCUGUGCAUAUUCAUUUACAGCUCAGCUCUCAGGUGACAUAACACAUAUGUCCUCAAGUUCAAAAUGUCCUCUCGGACCCGCAGGACGUCCUCACCUCCCAGGCAGCGGUGACAGUGAACAGCUGACGGUGUUUCUAAACUCGGCCGUCUCAAAAUGUUCCAGUUUCGUUCUGUUUUUAAAAGCAUGUGCAUUUUUGAGCGUACUUCCCGAGUCUAUAAUUUCAUAAAGGAUAAACAAAAUAGGCCACAAUGAAUAAUGAAAUCCUCUGCGCUCUCAUGCCUUCCUAAAUCUGAGGCUGCAGAAAGAACCCACUUACCUGUCCUGCUGUGUUUGUUCUUUUUAUAAUAAUAGUGUUUAUCACAUUAUGCUACAUUAUGAUGUAACUUCUACACUUUUCCACCAGGUAUUUCGUUCUGUGCAUGCUGAUGGAAUGAACAGUGACAGUGUGCUAAUAACAGAUCUGGGCAGUGUUUCCCACAAGCUUUUUAAGUCUUGGAUAAUCUUAUCCCCCAGCCUUACUCAGGGAAUAAGAUUAUCAUGGCCUGCAGAUGGUUCCGAACCACACAGGUGGCACGGCUUAAGGACUGUGUUGGCACAGCGCUCGGUCCCAGACUUCCAAAUUUCUAUAUGUUUCCCUAUACUGUAUUGAUUUUACUUUAAUUUUACUGCCAUUUGUUUUAUUAAAGAUAGUCAUGGUUGCCUGAGGAUGGAUCUGAAAAUAGUAAGGAAUGCUUGGAUAUGCCUAAACCGCAUCAGCAGUUCCUUUGGUUGCAUGAAACAGUUGCAACAGAGUUUAGUUCAAACGGUCGUGAUCCCCAGAUGAUAAGAUUAAUUGUAGACAUUCAUGGUUGCCUUAGGAUGAAUUCAAAAAUUCUGAGAAAUGCAUAGGCACGCAGACAAAAUACGUCCAGGCUGCAUUAAACAACAGCAGUAAAAAGAGAUGUUCAGAUGUUCAUGGUCCCCAGAGGUUAACCCCUUCACAAGGUAGAUACAAAGGAUUAUCCACUAACUAGUAUUCACUGCUCCGGCUGCACCCAUAACUGUUUGUUGUUUUUGGUGACAAAGACGAGUGCAAAGACAAAUCUUCUAGGUUUGUUAUAGUCACCUGAUGAUUCUCUAACUUUUCCUUAAUGCCCAUUUUUACUAAGAAUUUGUUCCCCAGAUGAUGAACCUAAAAGACUAAGAUGAUCCCUGAGCUUUUCUUUCAGCACAUCUAAAGAAUUUAAGUUUGCUGUUUUCUGAUAUUAAUAUUUCAGUAACAAGUUUUGGCUGAGACAUCUGCGUUCCUCAGAGGAUGAUCCCUUAGCUAUUUUAAUUUUAGGUGAACAUUUGUAGUUAAAGUGACAAAGAAUUUAGCACUAGAAAAAGGUCUUUGUUUCAAGGUUACCAGAAAAUGAACAUGACUUUGACGGCUUUCUGACUUCUGCGGUGCAUAUUCAUGAUCCCCAGUGGUUGAUAAUACCACGACUUUUCCUGUAGCUUCUCCAGCCAAUUGAUGAAGAACUUAAUGAAUUAUACACCAUUUAAUAUGUGAAAAAUAUUCAUGUGCCCUUCAGGAUGUGCUGUAAUGUCUUCUUUGACCCCUGAACUCUUCGUCUAAUGUUAUCAACAUGAUUUAAUUCGUCUAAUAGUUCAGAUUCAGACUAAAUCUUAAGAAACACCUUCUUAUGAGCCUUAGCUGUGCCUUCUAGACAUCAUUACAAUUAAACAUGUUAAAUAUAAGCGUAUUAUCAAGCACCUCUGUGUUAAAGCACAGCCACACCACACCACCGGCGUGGCUGCGGGUUUGUUUGUUUGUAAUUUCGAAGUGCUGUUUCCAUCAAGUGUUUAUGAGUUCACUUACUCUCACACUGUCUCCCGGUCCCUGAGGAUCUCUGCUCAAAUUUGAAUUCUGAGAAAGUGAAUCAUGGCACUGGAGGCAAACAAUUACUGUACAUCCUGAGCCUCUCUGUGGGAACUGGAAAAGAUUUGACAAAGAAACCCGAACCCCUGUGCGCCAAGGUCAAUCUAAAGCGGGCCGAGCUGUACUUUCUGCAGGGCGACACCACAGUGCUUUUUCCAAUAAAAAGCUUGAAUUAAAAACCCAUUCAGGCAGCCACAAUUGCAUCCUCCCACGUUAUCAGCUGCCUGAUGUGAUGAGUGACCCUGUGGUCAUCACCCGGUCCACAGAGACCAUCGAUCCUGCCGUCGCGGUGGUCGGCAGAGGGAAGGCUGUGUUUCGCCUGCUGCCGCCGUGUUUAUUGCCAUUACAUCCCUCAGAGGAGAGCUUUAAUGAGCUAUGAGGACAAUAAAGUCAUGACACAUCCGCACACAAACAUUGACUACCAGGGGCUGGUGAUCAUACUAUGAGUCACCAGAGAGAAGAAAUCCUUUGCAGUCAGCGAGUAAUGAAGCUGUGGCAGAGAUCGAGUCGAGAGGCAGGAAAGGCUAACUAUAAGUCUCCAGAAUCCAGAGAGUCAGUGGCCCAAUGAGCUCGGUCUCUUCCUCUGAAUGGAGGGGUUAGGAAAGGGGAGGAAGAGGAGGAGGAGGAGGGGGCUGGAUUUACAGCUGAGCCUCUCAGCUCUGUUUUUAGUUAAGGGGGAAAUCUGUUUGAUCAGUAAAUCAGCCGUCACCAAUAUGAAGAGGAAGUGAAACAGACGUUUUCAAGAGUCGUUUCUAAUCAAUACAGAAUUUUACAUUCACUACAAGAUGAGAUAAAUAUGAUAUAAUUAGAGAUUAUUGUGAUAUUAUGGUUUUUCAUGGAAACAGGUAUAUUUUUUUCAGUUUCUUUCACUUAUUCACAGUUUUGAUCUCUUGAGCAAUAAGCAACCAAAUUUCAAAAUAACAGAAAAUAUUUUCAUUUAAAAUAAGCUGUUAUAAAUAAUUAGUGCUCCAUUUUGGUCACAGUAUUAUUGGACAAUCUGUAAUUCAUCUGUAAUAUUGAAAAGCACAACUUGAACAAACCUUUGCAGUUUACAUUAAAUAUAUAUAUAUAUAUAUUUAAAUUUUUUUUGACUCAUUGAAUUGUUUUACUUUUUGUCAUUUUUGUCUCUUUUGUGUGAUGUGGGAAAUGUUGAAAAAUUUUAUUAAUUAUAAUUUUAGAUAGUCACAUGCUUACAGGUCUUUUGUUUCCAACAACAAGCAAAAGUAAAAAAAGAAAAAAAAACCCGACUUUUUAUUUCUUCAAUUAAGAAAUAAAAAAAGAUGCCCCUCUUUUUAUUUUUGGGGUCUUUUUUUUCCCUUUCUCAUUAAUUGAAUCAUGUAAUCAAUACAUUUUUUCGUUUUUAAUGGAAAAAACAUCUUGUGAUCUUUUAUUUGUUUUUCCUUUUUGUUUUCAUAUAGUAAAAAUAUAUUUUUUGAGGUUUUUCUUUUCCCUCUCUGCUUUUAUGAGUUGAAUAUAGAAUCAGUGUAUCUCUAUUUUUCUCAAAACAGUUGAAAAGAAACUCAGGGUUUCUGUUUAAAACAAACAAACAAAAAAACCCUUGACAUAUUUACUUUUCUUUUUUUGGUUUGUCUUGAUUAUUUUUUCCUUGGGUUGAAUAUUUAAAAAGUCCGUCAGUUAGUUUUUAUCACCCUGAUAAAAAUUUAAGUGUUUUUUGUUUUUUUUUGCUCUUCAAAAGUAAAUUUUUAAAGAAUAUAAAAAUAAAUCUGGGACUUUUUUGUAUUUUCUGUUUCAUGGUCAAAACAAAAACAAACUGAAAAUACUUUUUGUGUUUUUGCUUGUUCUUAUAAUUUCUUAUUUGUUAUUCCCUCUACAUAGCAGAAAAAUCGGGAUAUUUCAAAACAGAAGAGAUCUGCUCCGAAACAUCAAAACAUCACAAAAAAAGCCCAUUUUGAUUUGAUUUUUUAUUCUGUUUUGUCACUUCUUUGACUCAUAUGGUAAGAGGAUUUAAAGUUUUGUUUUGGCAUCACACAUGAAUAACAGAUUGUCUAAUGAUAAUCACAUUGUGUUUGCGAGACUCAUGACUAAAUAACAAAACUUCGAACACAUUAAUCAGACAGGUUUGGUGGCAGUGCCGCAUAAAAACAGCAGGUGAAACUGAAAUGAUUUCAAUGUUUGUUCAGGCUGAAACGAGAUCCCAGCGACAGAAAGUUUAAAAAAGGAAAGGCAAAGAGAAAUGUUGGUAUAUGACGCUCUGUUUUCACACAAACUUUCUCUCCUUAAAGUAAAGUUGUUUCUGAAGUGCUGGAAUGCACCUGUUUCCACUGUUAUCAAAUAUUCUGCAUAUUGAUAUUGGAGAUUGCACCUUGGCAGCUGGUAGGAUUAACAAUUUGUUUGAAAUGCUUCUCCAGACAUGUUUCGAGUAAAAAAUAAUAAACUCAGCUGUGAGUCCAAAUGUUGUGAUUUCGAGCGUUAACUUCCAGCGAAGAAAGUUUUCUGGGAGGAAAAAAAUAACAUAAAUUGCUUCCUAUUCCCUCCUGUGUGGCAGAAUUACAAAUUUAUGAGUAUUUAAGUCGUGUAUGCGGCCCAAACUUGACGUCAGGUAAAAGAGGGUGAAGGUCUUAAAAUAGGAAAACAUCAGAGAGGAGAACUUGACGACUUGAUUGGCUGAGCUUUAGCAUCCUUUUAAUAGAGAGCUUCAAAGAUAACUCCUGAUUGGUCGGCUGAACUGAUAAAGUCUGGGGUUAGAAUAAUAAGCAGGAGGUAUUUCCAAUGAAUUCCUGAGUCUAAUAUCUCAUCGCACUGAAAAUAAGCCAUCCUUUAAAGACUUUACAAGCCUAAAAAAUUAGACAAUUGACUUCUUUUCAACAUCCAGUAGAAAUGGGUAAACCGUUAAUGCAGAGCAGCCAUCCGUGUACGCAGAGGUCAGACGACAUGACCGUUGACAGAUUUUAGCCUGAUCCGACAGUCUGACAGUGCUUGGAUCCAUCUGUCCUGGCAGUUGAUCAUUUUGGCUCAUGUGGAGUGUCAUGAUGACCAACAUUCAAGACAACAUCUCAGACACCUUAUGACCUCCCAACAGUCUAGAAAAAUCCCUGAAGGCUAGCAUGCUUGGUUUUCUCUCUGCCUGCUAUGACCUGUUCCCUCAUGCCAGUGAUGUUAACCAAUGAGAGCACAGAGACGGAUCACUGUUGUCUUAGAAACUAAAUGCAACGAUCCUAAACCUAAGAACCUAAGAAUCCUAAUUAAAGAAGUCACUGUGGUUUUAUUCCAGGAGAACCAAGGUGAUGCCGACCUCCAACCCUUGCUGAUUCCCGUUGUCACCUACCACAAUGAUAUGGUUUCUCUGUUUUCAAUUCACACCACAGAUUAAUCAUCCCAGAUUUUCCUCGGAUACUCUCUGAUGCGUGUUUUACUGUUGUUGCUUGAUGCACAACACUAAAACCAAUUACAGCUCUCCGACAAAGACAAAUAAUCAAACACAUCAGAGCUUUGGCGUGAAACUAACCUGAGGGAUGGUAACAAGAGAGGGCCGCAGUAUUCAUUUUAACUGCACAGCUUCACGUCAUGACAGCUAAUGGCUGGGAAUAUUACCCUGCACUCGCCUAUAAGCAGUUUAAUAAUACAUGGGAUGGUUGCAUUGGAUAUGGUGUAGCUAAAUGAGAGAAAUGCUCCAGCGUUCAUCAUGUGUAAUUUCAGACCGCUCGGUGCUUUGAGUGCAGCCUGGUUACAGCCUGGGCUGCAGUAAAAUGUAUCAUUAGGAAGCCAUCAGCACGGCGAUGUUUAAACUGCGGGCCGAUUGUUGGAGCUGCAGACAGAUGCAGCCGCGGAGGCUAAUAUGAGAGGAAACAGGUGUCUCAUUCAAAUGACUGAAACAUGAAAUUCAGGUUGAUUGCAUAUUUCAAAAAACCGAGGCAGAAACAGAGAAAGCGGGGAUGUUGAUUUACACUCACUACUUCUCAUUAUUGCACACUUGAGCGCUGUAAAAGCUUAUUAGGGCGGAUAGACAUCCCUGCCUUUAUAAUUAACCAAUUAAAUAUGAAUGAAAAACUGAUGUGUCCUGUUUUCUCAGCUUUGCUUCAGUCCUUCAUACGAAUAAUCAAAUAUUCAAUUCUCAUGUGAGCCAUAUGUGCGACUUAGCAAAUUACAAAACCAUGAAAAAGUUCAAUAUUUCCGGACAGAUAUUCAAGAAAAUUCACUAUCUAGACUGAAUAAAUGCUGUGUGAAAUUAAAGUAUUGAGGUAUUAAUAAUUUGAUGUAAAUAUGCUUCUGGAAUUUUAGUUUUCUUUAGGGACCCUUCCCAAAAGGAUAAAUUAAGUCAUAUCUUAUCUAAUCUAUUGAGUGUUUGAAAUACAAUGUGUUGACUGUAGUGAAAAAAAGGACAAGUUCUGAGAUGAUUUACCACAAUUAUGCUCCGUAAUGAUGCAAUCACUGCUCGGCGUAAAGAGUGUUAAUGUUCAAUUUUCGACUCAUUCAGACGUGAUAAAUAAGAAUCAAGAGCUCAAUUAGACGUUUUCACCUUUGUUGUGAAAGACUUCUUUUCUUGUUUCUCCUUCCUCUUGUUGUGUCUUGUCGGAGUCUUGUUAGCUGAUGUGUUGACUAAUCCAAUUUAAGUGAUUUUUUUUUUUGUUUAAUGUGUAAUUAAAAAGAUGAAAACCUCCACCUAUCUCAGACUAUGUUUCCUUUGAAACUCCGGCUAAAAAAAGACUGUGUUAUUUCAGGCUGAGAAAUGAAAUGACAUUUCUGCUCCAUUCUUCAAACAGGGCUGUGUGUCCCUUGAUUCCACUGACUGUAAGUCUCUGAAAAUCCACUGUGACAGGCGUCUUCUCCACAGGUUUUCGGCUGACAAACGCCACUGCGGCUCUUCUCCUGACAUUUCCGAGCUGUCGUGGGGUAUUUCUUUGAUCCGACGCUGUCUGCACAACACCAUCCCCGGUGUUAACAUCACUACUAUUGGAACACCUCCGGUUAACAGGGAUACAAAGUAAGCUCAAACAUGCACAAAAUUUCCUCACCUCAAAAUGAUUUGGGCAUAACUACCAACAAGGACACGAUUGAAAGCGAGCCGCAGGAGCGGUGGUCGGCAGAUUAUAAAACUCAAACUGCUGAGAGUCAAGUAUCUGUGCUGCACUGGCCCGCCGUGCUGCAAAGACUUUAACUCUGGGAUGCUCUCUUUGUGUGACAACAGGGACUCCAAAACCUAUCAAACCAAACAGAUAGUUAUUGUUGCUAAAGAUAACAACUGUAGUUUGCACCUGAACUUCUUCAAACUAAUAUUUCCUCCUGCUUUUGUGCAUUUGAAAGGCACAAACCUGCAGAGAGGAUAAUAGCAAAAGUCAGUCUACUGCAGUCAGAGCUGAUUCUAGAGUGUGCUGGGGCCCCAAGCAAAAAUUCUCAAAGAGCCCCUCUGACAAAAAUUAAACUUCCGAAAAGGUCUGAAACAGAAACUUCUCAAAAACAAUGAUCAUUUUUACUACUAAACUUGAAAAUUUUGCUCUAGAACAGUUACAGCUCUGAUAUGUUUUUACCACAAUAGCCAGCACCCUGAUAAGUAGCUCCACUUCACGGCUGAUUUAGACGUUACUUUGAUCGACACACUUCAGUAAAGAUGAACGUUUCAGUGCAACAGGGAUGACAUGGUGCUCCUUUUGGAGGAUAUCUGUCUAAGAUGUCAUUGCACUUUGACCCCAGGUUGUUCAGCGGGGUUGCUAUAAGUUAGGACAUUUUUGUGGACUAAGGUUCGUCAGCCCUUGGGGGCCCCCUAGUGGCCUGGGGCCUCAAUCAACUGCCCGCCUUGCCUUUUGACAAGCUCCUGCUCUGUCUCCAGUCAGCCUUGUUUGACAGCAUGACUUAUGGGAUGUGUGCGCAAGACUUGAAUCUGCACUUCCAUGACCUUGCACUAAAACUGAGUCAGUCUGCAUUAGGCUCUUUCACUGCUUUAACUGAUAAAUAUGUUGUUAUUCAGUUGUUUGUGUAUUUUGUCCUGUGUGCAUAAAUGGAUAUUGUUUAGUCUCUUAAUAUCUGUGAGUUCUGGUCAAUAAGCAAUAAUUUAGCCAUCUCCCUGAUUUUUUAGGGCUCUUUAUCUUCCAUCUGCUGAUAAGCUUUACAGCUUUAUUCUCUUUUCUAAAAGGGACUUGACACCUGCCCACAGUGCCAAAACUCAAACAUAACUGUGCUUCAUUCACAAGCCAACUUGGCAAACCUGAACUCAGUAGAGAAUUUGUGGGUUAUUUGUCUUGGAGAGGAUGAAAAUCAACACGCCCCUCGGCGCUAAUGUGGGCGAAACUUGGUUUGCUUUUUGCACAGUGGGAUAAAACUGACAAUUGCCUUGGGUGCACUUGCCCAGCAUGCCAAAAGACUUCCUGGCAGGUGUACAAUAGGGCCCCGUAUCUCUCAUGUAACAUACUUCAGUACAUCCAG